UAUAUUAAGUUGUGAUUUCAAGUCAUUAUGUCCAAGCCAAAGCUUCAGCAUUAACAGGAAGUAGAUAACUCUCCCUUUUCAGUCUCUUUCUAAUAUUAUAAACCAGAGAGAGAGCUUUUCCGUCAUCAAUGGCAAACAAUGGAAAACUUACCACAAUUCUUAGCAUUAAUGGUGGAGGAGAAAGGCAUCAUUCCUGGGAAAGUCUUAGCCUUUCUUGAAUCUCAGCUCCAGACAAUGCUCCAUUGCCGGAUAUCUGCAUGGGCACAUCUGCCGCGCCAUUCUAUUUACCUCCCCAUCAUUUUGAAGUGAACUCAUCAAAAGGCACCAAGAGAUUCAAC
This is a long non-coding RNA of Pistacia vera, 338 nucleotides long. RefSeq lists it as uncharacterized. NCBI's taxonomy places the organism in Eukaryota, Viridiplantae, Streptophyta, Magnoliopsida, Sapindales, Anacardiaceae. The record is from RefSeq and is a predicted model, not a curated record. The transcript has 3 exons.